This 502-nucleotide ribosomal RNA is filed under the name uncultured Glomeromycotina. RNAcentral describes it as "partial small subunit ribosomal RNA". It matches the Rfam family "Eukaryotic small subunit ribosomal RNA", at positions 591 to 1092 of the family's 1831-position model. Lineage: Eukaryota; Fungi; Glomeromycota. The record is from RNAcentral.
CCAAUAGCGUAUAUUAAAGUUGUUGCAGUUAAAAAGCUCGUAGUUGAACUUCGGGGUCUACCCAUUGGUCAGGCUUAAUUGUCUGUACUGGUGAGAUGGAUCUCUACCUUCUGAGGAACUUUCCUGCCAUUUAUUUAGUGUGAUGGGAAAUCAGGACUGUUACUUUGAAAAAAUUAGAGUGUGUAAAGCAGGCUAACGUCUGAAUACAUUAGCAUGGAAUAAUGAAAUAGGACGGACUGAUUCUAUUUCGUUGGUUUCUAGGAUCACCGUAAUGAUUAAUAGGGAUAGUUGGGGGCAUUAGUAUUCAAUUGUCAGAGGUGAAAUUCUUGGAUUUAUUGAAGACUAACUACUGCGAAAGCAUUUGCCAAGGAUGUUUUCAUUAAUCAAGAACGAAAGUUAGGGGAUCGAAGACGAUCAGAUACCGUCGUAGUCUUAACCAUAAACUAUGCCGACUAGGGAUCGGAUGAUGUUAAUUUUUUAAUGACUCAUUCGGCGCCUUACG